UCACAGUGAUGAAUGGUCCAAACAUUCAGUUUCCAACAGAAUUCCAGAUGUGUUGGCAGCUAGUUUACCCCCCUUGGAUGUCUUAGUGA
RNAcentral lists this small nuclear RNA (89 nucleotides) under Cervus elaphus hippelaphus. The record is from RNAcentral. Lineage: Eukaryota; Metazoa; Chordata; Mammalia; Artiodactyla; Cervidae.